GAUGGAAUGGCUGAUAAAGGUGAUAAAUUGUAAAUUUAUUUAUGAGGGUUUCUCUUCCAUCA
This 62-nucleotide transfer RNA is filed under the name Scaphidium quadrimaculatum. RNAcentral's name for it is "tRNA-Tyr". It matches the Rfam family "tRNA". Rfam says of the family: Transfer RNA (tRNA) molecules are approximately 80 nucleotides in length. The record is from RNAcentral. Lineage: Eukaryota; Metazoa; Arthropoda; Insecta; Coleoptera; Staphylinidae.